Long non-coding RNA from Danio aesculapii, 1316 nucleotides. RefSeq lists it as uncharacterized. The record is from RefSeq and is a predicted model, not a curated record. NCBI's taxonomy places the organism in Eukaryota, Metazoa, Chordata, Actinopteri, Cypriniformes, Danionidae. The transcript has 8 exons.
UAUGAGCAAAAAAUGCUUGGUUGGUUUAAAAGUUUAUUUUACGAGUUAUGUGUUGUUGUUGUUUUUAUUUUUAUAUUGGUCUAUAUUUUAAAAGCUUGACAAAACACCUCAUAUAUAUGCUAACUUGGUUUAAAAAAAGUACACUGAUUGACUGUAAUUAUCCCAAUAGUGAGAGUGCUUCAUUUCGAAGAAAUGCUGCUUCAAGUGGAGUGGGAAGCUGAAAUGGAUCCGAAUACCAGUGAAAAAUGACUUUGACUUUUGUGAAUUCAUUAAAGAAGCUUCAGCAAAGUUUAACUUGCCGCAUGGAGGGAAUGUGGUUCUUAAGGACUCUGCAGGAGUUGAUGUUUAUGCUGAUAUUUUUGAUGAGCUUGUGAGAACAUCUAAGGUGUCCUUCAUAAUUUUGGAUUGCGAUACAGCGGAUAAUGCUCCACAAGCUGAGACCGAUUUCUCUGAGCCGUCAUGUCCAGAGUUGUCAUUUUCAUCAGAAAGUUUCGAUUACACAGUGAUUCCACAAAAAGCGAUUCUUAGAAGAACCUUCUGACUGCAAGUUCUCAAAACAUCUAGUUUAUGCAGCACUGCACUCAAAACCAGGAGGCUCUGAUAUAUUGAAGGAGUACGAACAAACAAAGAGUCUGUCUGACAAGACACAAAGGAAGCUGGUAAACAUCCUUGUGGCUGAUAUGGUAGAGACGCAUGGGAGGAUUCCACCAGUCAGUAUCUGUGUAAGCUAUGCUCUUGGAAUCAUUACUCUUUUCCCCAAUUUGAAGGAUAUGUUCUCACCGACUGGUUAUGCAAGAACAGUUCUACGAUCCACGCAGUGGCCAGGGUUACAUUGCCUACAGACUGAAAACAACUGAGCAGCUGUCAGGUGAUGAAUGCACAGAAGCUGCAUCCAUGAUAAAGCAAUCAAUGGACGCACAAGUUAUUAAGGAUAAAAUGAAGACAACAUUCAAGUACAGACAGGAUUUGAUGCAUGAUCCAGACAAAUCUUCACUCAUCCUUGAUUACUUUCCCCGAUUUUUGGAUACAAAGGCUUGAUUGACCAAGACUUAACUAUGCUUUUUGGAGAUGACAUUUCAAGCAAGUUGCCCAACAUUCUACAAGCCAAGAAUAAUUGCUGACUGCAAAAACCUGCAUUAUGGUGCACAUGUGGAUGACCUUUUGUCUGCUCUGGAGGAGUCUGAUUAUGGAUGGGAUGGUGAUGUGGCUACUAUUUUCUUGCUCCAUCUCUUGCCUCAAACUGUAAAAGGAAGGAAGACUGGGAAAAUCAGUGCUACAAAAGCAGCUGAUCAUGUUGUAAAGUUCAUCAGUAAAGU